This 731-nucleotide long non-coding RNA is filed under the name Trifolium pratense (red clover). Its description in RNAcentral is "long non-coding RNA (TPRA_LNC008441)". Lineage: Eukaryota; Viridiplantae; Streptophyta; Magnoliopsida; Fabales; Fabaceae. The record is from RNAcentral.
AUUCAUUCUGCCCAAUUUGUUUUCUCUUUGCGACACUCUUUCCUUCUCCGUCAUUCAUCAUAACGGAACGCUGAAAAAACCUCACAACACGUUCGUGUAACUCGCUCACUCGACUCGUUCUCUUCGGUUUCGAUUUUUUCAUCAUGCCGAAUGAUAAAGUUGAUUCCAAACCCGCCGAUAUCAGGUAAAUCGUUUCUAUCCGUUCUUUCUUCUUUUUUGCGAUUUUCUGAUUUUGAUUUUUAGGUUUUAGAUGAACAAUUUUCAUCAACAAAUUGUAAUGAAUCGUUCCAUCUGGUUUUUAUUUCGUUCAAUUUGAUAUAUGAUUUCUUUUUUUUUUUUUCUUCUUUUUUGUCGGAUGAUAUAUGAUUUGAAUCUUGAAUUAAUUUGAUGUCCAUAUAUGAUAUAUCUGCUUAUCAUUUUGUUGUUUCACUUUCUUUUUUGUUGUUUUCUCUGAUGUNNNGAAAGCAAAACAUACACUGAGCAACUCUUUCUUUUUCUCCUAAAGGACAUUGCGUAAUUUCAAUUUGAUCGAUUAGCUCUUUCUUUACUCAUGGAAGAUAUCGGUGUUGCCAAAUAGCGGCUAUAGCACUGUAGCGUAUUCUUGAAAUUAAUGAGUUUUUUUGGAAUUUUAUUAUUUCAGGGCACCCCGAUGAGCUUGUGUGAACCUAGGAAUUUUCAUUUGCAUGCAAUUUUAGGGAUUCACUGGAGUCUAGGAGUGAAUAUAUCAAAGG